CAGCACCUCAAGUGGUCAGGAUGAUUAUUGGGCCUAAAGCAUCCGUAGCCGGCUCUGUAAGUUUUCGGUUAAAUCUGUACGCUCAACGUACAGGCUGCCGGGAAUACUGCAGAGCUAGGGAGUGGGAGAGGUAGACGGUACUCGGUAGGAAGGGGUAAAAUCCUUUGAUCUAUUGAUGACCACCUGUGGCGAAGGCGGUCUACCAGAACACGUCCGACGGUGAGGGAUGAAAGCUGGGGGAGCAAGCCGGAUUAGAUACCCGAGUAGUCC
Molecule: ribosomal RNA, 270 nt
Filed under: uncultured archaeon
Lineage: Archaea
Description: partial 16S ribosomal RNA
Rfam family: Archaeal small subunit ribosomal RNA
Source: RNAcentral